AGACCGGGAGAGACUAGACUUAGCGCCGAAGGGGAAGCAAGAACUCUCAGGCAAAAGGACCGGUUUU
Molecule: non-coding RNA, 67 nt
Filed under: bovine gut metagenome
Description: Glycine riboswitch
Rfam family: Glycine riboswitch aptamer
About the family: This family represents the bacterial glycine riboswitch. Glycine riboswitches usually consist of two metabolite-binding aptamers domains with similar structures in tandem.
Source: RNAcentral